Molecule: long non-coding RNA, 1561 nt
Organism: Acanthochromis polyacanthus (spiny chromis)
Lineage: Eukaryota; Metazoa; Chordata; Actinopteri; Pomacentridae
Exons: 4
Source: RefSeq, a predicted model, not a curated record
CGGUUGGCUGUUCCGGGUUCGGAGGCAGCGAUGAGUCACUUGAUUGGUUGAAAUGCGGUUGGAAUCGAAAGCAGAGGCUUCAGUCGCCAUUUUCUGACCGAGAUCGUGUGGAUAACAGAAAGCUUCAUAAAAUUAUGGAUAAAAAUGCAGUGAAUUAUGGAACGCGCAGCGCCACCAUGCGCCACGUGGACGCGCACGGAGCCGAGCUAUUUGUGGAUUAUUUACUUAUUUCUAGACAUGUUUUGGACAAAAUAUGAUACUUGCUAGUAUUGUCUGGAUGACUACUCUUGGAUUAUGGCCAGUUUUUGUGGAUUAUUUUCAUCGUUGACCGGUAAAAGACCAUCGAAAGAUAAUCCUCCAAUGCAGAAGCUUUGUCCUGAAAAUAUCCUGCAGGCUGGACACCUAACAGAGUAUGGUACAGUACAUCAUCGUGAUGCAGCUGGACACGUCAUCAGGGAUGUUUUUUGGGCUCAUUGGGUGUUUUGAGUCUUUCUACCUAAGACAUCGUCACCCAGGUUACCCAGUUGGAGUUGGUCGACCCUCCCCUUGCAUCCAUGCCACCGACAGGAGCUUGGGCUCCAUGUGACGCUUCUCUGUGUGGAGCGGAUGGUACACAACAGCUGCUACUGGACCCAAAUAUCACAGCCUGCGUCACACUGCUCGGCCUGUGAAUAAUCAUGUGUGUUGCAGGUUGGAGAUGGUGAUGCUUCCUGUGACAGUUUUUCUCUCCUUUGUGUUGUGUUCUGUUUUAUACAAAAAAAAUGUUUGCAAGGUGAAAAAGAAAAAUGCACGUGUGUACUUAAAUUAGCACAUGAAUGCAUGCUUUUAAAAAAAUCUAUUCAAGUGAUACACAUACUUAAAUAUUCACACGUCAGACUGGAGUCUUGACAUAAUUUUACUGUAAAAUGUCAUUUUUGCUUUGUCAUAUAUAUUUUUGUAGUGAUAUGAGUAGAAAAAGUCCUUUUUCCCAUUUGAAUUUAAAGUUGCCACUGCUGUCGGUCCACAUGCAUAAAUGUGUGCAACUCUCUCAUAUAGAUCCUGCCACUGUCUGGUGUUUCAGGUAUUUAAUUAACUUCAAAAGAAAGACUCUUUCAGAGGGGAAUCAGGAAAGGACCCAGAUGCAGACACAUCCGGUGAGUAAGUUGCAGCAAUAAAAAAGGACAUUUUAAUCAAAAACUUAGUUAAACAAGACAGAUGGAUGAAUAAGCAAAAGUUGGCUGGUAAUCCAUGAAGAAAAAGUCCCUAACAGAAAAAAUCCACAAGGAACAUAAUCCAAAAAACAUGAUGGCACAGAGGGCUGAACAGACAGGAAGGUGAACAAGAUCCAUGUACUGAGUAGACAAACAGGUGGCAAUCAGGCAGGCAAUCCAGAGGAGAAACAAGAUCCAAAGAAACUAAAUGCACAAACCGAGACACAAGCGAGGAACAUAAGGGCAGGUAACAGGAAGGGAAACACGAGGAUAAACAACAGUACCAACUGGCAAAAGACAAGGCAAGACACAGAACUAAUAAGCAAACAAGACACAGGUGAAACUAAUGUGCCGGCAGACAAUCAAAAAAG